This 2945-nucleotide long non-coding RNA is filed under the name Homo sapiens (human). Lineage: Eukaryota; Metazoa; Chordata; Mammalia; Primates; Hominidae. The record is from RNAcentral.
AGUUGGGGUGCCUGUGAAACCGGCAGGCUCUCUCCAAAUGCCUGGAUUCUGCUGGGGGAGUAAGAAGUCAGGAGUAGUUUGUCUGAUGGUAUUGGGAUCUGCUUUGCAAUUGCCAAGCGCUAAGGCACAAGCUGGCAGAUGUGCUGCGGCUCUGCUACGGGCGGCUCUGUCGCCUUCAGUCGCAGGCUGGUUCUUUGGGGGAAAGUUGUAUCCAAUAUUGGUGACUCCCGGGAAUAGUCUGUUUGUGUGCUACUUAAUGGUCUCUAGGCUUCCUUGUCUUGUAGAACCUUGUUAGAAAGGAGCCUUGGUGAUUAAGAGGCUAUGGAGUACACAGCCUUGCUUAGCAGAUGAGCCCUUAUCCAUUUCCCGUUUCCUUAAAAACGGCUAAUUGAUGGAUGCUGCAGAAAACAUGCACUCUGCUAAUAAGAUGCUGAUGACAAAAUAGGUAUCAGGAAAGGCAUUUACUGCUUAUGAGCACCAUCAGCUUUCUUUCGAGUGAGAUUGUGGCUUUGUAGUAAAGUUUUUUUUUAAGUAAUAUGCUAAUAGUUUUAUUCUAAAUCGGCCAGCGCUGAAUAUCUUCAGGAAAAUGGGUUCCAUGAGAAGUGACAUCCUCCUCGAAUCAAAAGAUUCUCAGGAUGAUGGAGUGAGUGAUGGAAUAGGUUGCCAACUGUAGUUACUCCACUCAGCACAGAAUGGCUGCGGGGAAAUAUAAUCAGACAUGCCCAAAGAAGUCUGCUUAGGGUGAAACAAAUACCUUUGAGGUUUAAAUCAGGAAGGAGAGACUGUUUCUACAGGUGUCAUACAAAAAUCAAUACUGAGCCAAGGAUUAUUGGAUCCCAUAGAACCACGGAGACUUGGUAGUGAAAUUCUUCCAAAGCAUUCCAUCCGUGCAGGCAGAUGGUGUUCCUAGGUUUGGAAAUAUAAAUCCCAUGGGAAGUCAGCUGAAGACCAUUUUAUGCAUCACUCAUCCUGUUAGAGCCCUGUGCUGUUCUGUCUCUCUAUAAGACUGGCUGAAACCACCACGGUUGUUUACAAUUUAUGCUCUAACUUUGGAUCACCUAGUUAAUACUCUAACUCCGAUUAUUACCAAAGACAAUGUUCUAUAAAAGAUAUUGUCUAUUAGAAGGAUGCUUCUGCAUUAUUAAUAAAAUCACAGGGAAAAUGCAACAUUUUGGAUGUCACAUCUGAUAAGUGGGUGACUGAUCGUACCCGCCAGCUGGCUAAUGUCAUAAUUAACAAAGUUGCUACUACAUCUGCAAAGUUUAAUCGAAAAAUUUGCCAGUGAUAUGAUGGCCUUGUCACAGAGAUCACAAGGGACACGGAGUUGACUUUUGCUCAAGGUGGAACGACAGAGCUGUGUAGGCAAGAUGAGAAAUUGCGAACUUGUUCGGCCAAAGGAACGACUAUGCUCUGGAGAGUCCUGUAAUUUGCAGAAAAUGGACCAAGAUAACAUUUGAGUUCCAUGCUACCAAAAUCCUCUUGAGAAGGACAGCUAGCUACCCAGAAUAUUUAACAUUGUGACAUUGAAAUGUUGGAUGAACGAUUAAAAUGAAGAAUCUAGUCAUAGGUUGUAAGAAAUCGCUAAAUUAUUAUGUUUAAUCCAAAGAAGAGAAAGGAAAAGCUGUUUUCAUUCCCCCCAGCCUCUGAGGAGGCUAAUAAUGAAGGGGCCGGGAAGGAGGCCAGUGCUACCAGGGUUAUCUCACAACCUCAGAUGCUGGAUAAGUCGACGGAGGCAGAAUCGCUUUGGGAUGACAUUCAGAAAGCCUGGAGUGAUUACUUGCAAGAGAAAAGCCUACCUAUUCUUUCCAAGGUGCAGGAAUAUUCCCCUGACCUGCUCAUCCAGUGGUCCAGUAAUGAAUUACUGGAGACCUGCCUUAGACAAAGAAUGCACUCGGAGCCCCAACACACCUAAAGCCAUGCUUUGAAGGAUCUGCCAAGCUCACUUUUAAUCAUGAGAAAGAAAUUACCCACACGGAGUCAGCAGAAAAUGAGAAAGUAGAGCUCGUGCUGUGAAUAAUUCCAGCAAGUGCCAAGGGGCUAGUUGAGGAAUGGCUUCAUGAGAACAUGCUCUAGGGGAACUAUUAAUAGCCCACCAGUCGGGUAGGCAGCAUUCAAUCCUUCUAUGCCUUCUUUCGCCACCUGUUGAGGUCUUUCUUCUGAAACAAAGAAGAAAUAGACAAAUCAGACUUGCCCUCUUGGAAAUGUGGUCCAGAUUUCUCUACUCCCAAGCUCCAAAAAAGGUAUACAUUGGAUGGGCUAGAUCAACUCCUCCUGAGAGCCAUAAAUCCGCCAAGAGUUGUUUUCCAUGUAAGGGUGUGGUACAAUGGGGAACACCUGAUGUUGGAGGAAAGCAGGAGGACUUUAGAGUGGAGUUGCAUUCUAAUCUCUCUGCCGCUUCAACUAUGUGACCUGGGGCAAAUGAUAUAAACUCUAUGAGCCUCUUUCCUUAUCUUUAAAAUGAAGAGAAGUAAUACCUACCUUGUAGGGCUGUUGUGAGGAUUAAAUGAAGUAAUGCAUACAGUGCCUAACAAAGUAUUUAACAUCAUAUUUUUUAAAAGCUCAUGAAAUAUUAGUUUUUCUUCCUUCCCCUCUUUCUAUUUUCUCUCCUGUUCCCUUUUCUCUCCCUCCUCUGCCCUCUCCUUCCUUCAGAUGUUAGUCUAAAACAGCACCUUGGAUCUAAGCAGCACCUUUGAGAAAGAAAAGACUGCUUCAAGAAUGUCUAGUUGCACCUCCUUUCCGUAUGUGGCCUAAAUGCCUAGGUUGGAUCAAUAGUUUAAUUUUUUUAUUGAACUGUUUAAUAUUGACUAUGGACUUACAUUCACUUUUACUGUUUUCUGUAUAUUUACUUUUGCUUGAAGUGUUUUAAUAUUGACUAUUUACCUCUGCUCAUUUUUAUUGAUUUUCUGUAUUUUUUCAAUGAAAAUUAUAAUAAAAAUUAUUUUUGU